This 1564-nucleotide long non-coding RNA is filed under the name Monodelphis domestica (gray short-tailed opossum). Its description in RNAcentral is "lncRNA (ENSMODG00000042853.1)". Lineage: Eukaryota; Metazoa; Chordata; Mammalia; Didelphimorphia; Didelphidae. The record is from RNAcentral.
AUGCUUCAAGGAGGAGGCAACAGAUGCAAGGGAAAGAGUCCUGGGUCAGGAGUCAGAGGCCUUGGGUUUGAAUCUCAGCUUUGCUACUGCUUGUGUGACCUCAGGCAAGCCACCUCUCUGGACCUCCAGGUCCUCCUCAGUCAAAAGCAGGGGGUUGGAUUAGAUGUAAGCACUUCCUUUGUGCUAAACCCUGGGCAAAAGAAAGUCAGGCUCAGCUCUCAAGGAGUUUCUGUUCUAAUGAGGGAAGAUCUCACCCUAAGGGAGAGGGACAGUGUUGGUGCUUGGCUAAGGCCUCUUAUGGAAGUCUGGAAAGUUUGGGGCAGAGAUAGGAGGAGAGGGACGUUUGGAGGCCCUAGGGGAAGGGAGGCAGCACCCAGAGAUGGGUUCCUGAAUGAGGCUGCCAUUGGGGCAUGGGAAAGCAGCAUCUGGAAGGCUAGGAGGAGAACAAAGGACCCCUCACGCUCCAAGGUCCCUUCCGAUUCCCGGCCCUCAUUGGGGGAAGGGAUCAAUUCUUACAGGGAACUCCCUGCUCCUGGACUAGCCUGCUGUCCCUUCCCUCAAUAAUCCCUGGGAACACUGUUGCUGGGGCUGUGACUUAGGGUUGGGGACUUUGAUCCCAAGUGCUCUGUCUGUCACUUUAGCAAACAGUGAGCUCUUUGAGGAAGGUGUAGCCUCAUUUUGAAUGGUUCUGAGGCUUUUCAGCUUGGCAAAAACCAAAGCUCUCUCAUCUGGCCAAGGCUCCAUGUUCCAGGGCCUUCCAGGGAGUCUGGCCCAGAGUGGAGAAAGAGAGGCUCUCGGGAGGACCUUGGCGGCCUUGCUCUGCACCUUGGUUCCUUGUUCACUCCCACAGUUCAAACAAGCUUGUUUUAGGGUCACAAAGGAAGAGCUCCAGACCUUGAAAGGCCUCCAGCCCCACUCCCUUGUUUGAAUGUGGCUUAGCUCCGGCUCAAUUAGAAACUGAGAUGGGCCACUUCAGGCCACCACAUUGUAAAGUUUGCUUGAUUGGAGGCACAGAAAAAGUAGAAUACUGAUGCAGGAGCUCCCAAAGCCCUGACACCUUGGGCACCACUUAGCGUCUGGGUCUGGGGGCCUUAAGGCAGCAGACACUCGUGAAGCCUCUUCCGUGUGCCAGGCGCUGUGGGGAGGGCUCACUUGGUUACUGCCCAGCCCAGUAACUGGUGUCGCUCUGGUCCAUUGAGGCGGCGUCAGUUACCUAGAAGAGGUCGUUGUGGGAACUUGUAAGAAGGGAGAUUUCCAUGUGUCAGUGGAAUGAUCAUAGCCGUGCUCCUUGGUCGAGAUGCAGCGUGCUGAUGGACUGAGAGGGACGGCCUCCGAAUCAGAGAGGCCCGGGGCCAAGUGCCAUCCCUGGCUUUCAUCCGAGACCUAAGCUGAGGGCCAAUCUGCCUUGGAAGUCAGAGUUCACUUUUUGGGAAUGCAGAGGUCUGGGCCAAAUCUCCAACUUCAUAUUUCUAGAAUGGUGGGGAGAGUGUCAUCGACAACAGCUUCGGGAGGUCUGUUGGGCAAGUCCUUAUUAUCCCCAUUGGAUAGAUGAGAGAGUUGAGAC